UGGGGAAUUUUGGACAAUGGGCGAAAGCCUGAUGCAGCAAUGCCGCGUGUGUGAAGAAGGCCUUCGGGUUGUAAAGCACUUUUGUCCGGAAAGAAAUGGCUCUGGUUAAUACCUGGGGUCGAUGACGGUACCGGAAGAAUAAGGACCGGCUAACUACGUGCCAGCAGCCGCGGUAAUACGUAGGGUUCAAGCGUUAAUCGGAAUUACUGGGCGUAAAGCGUGCGCAGGCGGUUGUGCAAGACCGAUGUGAAAUCCCCGAGCUUAACUUGGGAAUUGCAUUGGUGACUGCACGGCUAGAGUGUGUCAGAGGGGGGUAGAAUUCCACGUGUAGCAGUGAAAUGCGUAGAGAUGUGGAGGAAUACCGAUGACGAAGGCAGCCCCCUGGGAUAACACUGACACUCAUGCACGAAAGCGUGGGGAGCAAACAGG
This 429-nucleotide ribosomal RNA is filed under the name Bacillota bacterium. RNAcentral's name for it is "Firmicutes bacterium partial 16S ribosomal RNA". It matches the Rfam family "Bacterial small subunit ribosomal RNA", at positions 355 to 776 of the family's 1533-position model. The record is from RNAcentral. Lineage: Bacteria; Bacillati; Bacillota.